Ziziphus jujuba (common jujube) is the source of this 2705-nucleotide RNA transcript. RefSeq lists it as uncharacterized. The record is from RefSeq and is a predicted model, not a curated record. NCBI's taxonomy places the organism in Eukaryota, Viridiplantae, Streptophyta, Magnoliopsida, Rosales, Rhamnaceae. The transcript has 3 exons.
AUUUGGCUAUUUAUUUAAAAUAAGUUCGAGUUCAAACUCGAAUCAAAAUUUAAGCUUAAAAUUUAAUUAAAACUGAAAAAUAAGCAUAUAUAAGGAGGUUCUACACUAAGAACAGGACCGAUCAGAUGUUUUAUUUGCCAAAAAAACAAAUGAAGAAAUGAAAGCCAUUAGAUUGUCAUAUCUAGCAUAAACGACCUAGAUUGAAUAGCUUCUCACCUGUAAAAUUUUGCUGGAAUCUCCCCUUCCCAUCCCACCCUUUCUCUUCUCUUCUCUUCUUCUCCCAUUCGCACCUCUAUAUAUAUAUAUAUAUUUAUAUAUAUGUUUUUUGGUCGGCUAUAAAAAAUUCAUCUUUACCCCAAAAAAUAUUUUCCUUUUCUUUUGCGCUUUUUGCUUUUAUUUUUAUUUUUUCUUUAGGGUUAUAUGUUUGCCUUUUGUUGACUCUGCCGGUUAACCCCCAUUUUUUCCGGUUCUUUAUCUCUCUCUCUAUCUCUCUCUGUGUACUCCAUGCCCAACCUUCUAUUCCUGUGGUCAAGUGGGUGAAUCGUGUCCACCAUAUUACAGGUUCGAGAAGAGGCAGGCACAAAACAACUCUCUGUGUACUCCAUCUUUACCAACUCUCUUCCAUCUGCCUUCUUGAUCUCUCCAUUGAUCUGGAUCUGGCUCUGGCUCUGGCUACCAAUGGCGUUCCAAAACUUUGCAGCAACCAUUACAAGGUUUAUCUUCGCAGCCGGAGGUUUGAUUUUUUAUUUCCACGGAUCCUUCUCAAAGAUGCAAUUUGUGGAUGAUACAAACUGGAAAGGCAUGUGUUUUAUUAUUCUCAGUCUAACUGUUGCUUUCUUUGUGUUUAUGCCUCUGAAAUGUAAUGAUAUGUUUGAAAAGUUAUGUGAUAUGCAUUUCUUGCUGAAUGCCCUUGUGAAGUUACUUUGGCUGGGGUUAGUCUCUAUGUUGACUUUCCUUACCAAGUAUCCUCGGCUCAAAAUUCAUCAUUCAAAAUCUACGACGGAGGAACAAAGCAAUAGAUCAGGAAAGGUGAAUGAUUUAUUGGGUGUUGGAUCGUUUUCCGUUCUUGCUUUGGUGAUAUCAUGUGCUAGGGAAAGGCAGCAGGGGAGCGCAGGAUUCGGUGUAUUCGACUUUAUCCUUCAGUUGACUAUGGAUGCUUCUAUGGAGAUUCCUGCUGGACAUGGUAAUGGAUCAGGACCAAAUCUUUGGUAUAUGUUUGGUGCUUAUGUUUAUUGUUUUUUGUUGCUCAUAAUCAGAAAUUACGGGAAUUCCUUGGCUGAACAUGGAAUCAGCAGCUCUGUUGCUCGACAGGAAACUCUGUUGCAAGACCAAGAUCAGCCGUUAGAGAUGGAUUCUGUUACAAUUGAUAUAGAUCGACAAUUGAGAGUUCCUUUUCGUCAUCAUUACUCCAAUCACUAUUCCCAUAGUAAUAGUAUUGGAAAUAGUACUACUACUUCUAGUAGUGGAAUAUUAGACUGGUCGAGGGGGAGUGUAUUUUCCAGUAAUAGUGAUACCGUAGAUGGUCGCAGUGAUCAUGAAAGCAUUGUUGAAGUAGUACCAGAGAGAGAAGAAGAAGAGAAAAGAGGGGAUGUUAUUUUAGAUGGCGAAAGCAACAUUAAUGUGCAACUGAACGAAUGCGGAAGUUAUGAUGUAGAGGGAGAAAAUAAGAAUAAGGAAGGUACAUCAGAUGGGGAAAGCAAGGAUGUUGAAACUAAUGAAUGUGGAAAUUAUGAGACAAAGGGUGAAGAUGAGGAUACAGAAGUUAUGCUAGAUGGGGAUACCAAAGAUAUGCAAUGGGGAAACUAUAAGGUUGAUGGACUAAGGAGGAGGAAGAACAUGACGAGGUCAAAAGCAAUCUGGUCUGAUGAAGUAGAAAUUGCAGAUAUGAAGAUAUUAAAACCUUACUCAUACGGAUGGGAAUGGAGGUUACCCUCAUUUACUGAUAGUUUAGUUUCUGUAACGCUAACAAACAAUGUGUUUGAGUCAUUUACAAAGGUUCUGUCUCUAUUUGGCUGUUCCCUCUUCUCCAACAACGAUGACCCAAAACAUCAGAAUGGUCAUGAGAUAUCAACUCCCCUGUACUUAGACACUAGGCAAAUCCACUUCUAUCGUUAUUCAGCCAAGAACAACCAAAAAUGGCCGUGGAUUUGCUGGUGUUGGGGCUAUAACAGAUAUGUCGACGGGGUCGAGCUGAAAAUAUUUCUUGAGGGAGGAGAAUUUGGUGAGCGUCAUCAAAGGGAGGACCAAAAAGAUGGAGACGAUUACAGUCACUACGAGAGGAAGAAAGUUGUAUUUCCACUACCAAGGAAAGGGCAGUUACUGGGAGGCAGGCAGCGAAAGCCUAUGACGAAAUAAGAACCGGAGUGUUCCAGAUCACCAGAAUGGCAGGGCAAGAUAUCAACUUCCUUAUACCAAAGAACAAUCAAAAUGGGCCCUGGUUAUGCCAGUGAUGGGUUGUGAAAAGGGUUGAAUUGCCACCACCAAGGAAUGGGCCUUCCCUGGGAGGCACGCAGCCAAAUCCUAAGCUUAUUCAAGAUGGGCCAAGUUUUAUAUGCCUCUUGUGUGUGGUUUCGUGGUUAAUUUUUCUUUUCUCAGUUUUUAUUUGGUUCUACUUUAGUUGUGUAUAAUUUGCUUCCUUCAAAAGGUUUACAGGUGUACAAAUUGAAGUUAAUAUAUAGAAAUGAUUCAUUAAUUUCCAAUUGGCA